UACGUAGGCAGCGAGCGUUGUUCGGAGUUACUGGGCGUAAAGAGUGCGUAGGCGGUUUUCUAAGUUUGGUGUGAAAUCUCCCGGCUUAACUGGGAGGGUGCGCCGAAAACUGGAAGGCUUGAGUAUGGGAGAGGUAAGCGGAAUUCCUGGUGUAGCGGUGAAAUGCGUAGAGAUCGGGAAGAACAUCGGUGGCGAAAGCGCUCUACUGGACCGCAACUGACACUCAGGGACGAAAGCUAGGGGAGCGAAUGGG
RNAcentral lists this ribosomal RNA (253 nucleotides) under uncultured bacterium. RNAcentral describes it as "partial 16S ribosomal RNA". It matches the Rfam family "Bacterial small subunit ribosomal RNA", at positions 524 to 776 of the family's 1533-position model. The record is from RNAcentral.